AGGGUGGCUGUGCCUCUCCAGCAACCCUCUUCAGUAGAGUGGCUGCUCCCUCAGCCGCCCAACAGAAAAUCAGAAGGUUUCUGUCCUGCCACUUUGAGAAAACUGUGGUGGGUUCGUUCCCCUUCUCAUAAAU
Non-coding RNA from Xyrichtys novacula (pearly razorfish), 133 nucleotides. The record is from the annotation of a GenBank genome assembly. NCBI's taxonomy places the organism in Eukaryota, Metazoa, Chordata, Actinopteri, Labriformes, Labridae.